This 1301-nucleotide ribosomal RNA is filed under the name Paenarthrobacter nitroguajacolicus. Its description in RNAcentral is "bacterial SSU rRNA". It matches the Rfam family "Bacterial small subunit ribosomal RNA", at positions 48 to 1361 of the family's 1533-position model. The record is from RNAcentral. Lineage: Bacteria; Bacillati; Actinomycetota; Actinomycetes; Micrococcales; Micrococcaceae.
UUAACACAUGCAAGUCGAACGAUGAUCCCAGCUUGCUGGGGGAUUAGUGGCGAACGGGUGAGUAACACGUGAGUAACCUGCCCUUGACUCUGGGAUAAGCCUGGGAAACUGGGUCUAAUACCGGAUACGACCAUUCCACGCAUGUGGUGGUGGUGGAAAGCUUUUGUGGUUUUGGAUGGACUCGCGGCCUAUCAGCUUGUUGGUGGGGUAAUGGCCUACCAAGGCGACGACGGGUAGCCGGCCUGAGAGGGUGACCGGCCACACUGGGACUGAGACACGGCCCAGACUCCUACGGGAGGCAGCAGUGGGGAAUAUUGCACAAUGGGCGCAAGCCUGAUGCAGCGACGCCGCGUGAGGGAUGACGGCCUUCGGGUUGUAAACCUCUUUCAGUAGGGAAGAAGCGUAAGUGACGGUACCUGCAGAAGAAGCGCCGGCUAACUACGUGCCAGCAGCCGCGGUAAUACGUAGGGCGCAAGCGUUAUCCGGAAUUAUUGGGCGUAAAGAGCUCGUAGGCGGUUUGUCGCGUCUGCUGUGAAAGACCGGGGCUCAACUCCGGUUCUGCAGUGGGUACGGGCAGACUAGAGUGCAGUAGGGGAGACUGGAAUUCCUGGUGUAGCGGUGAAAUGCGCAGAUAUCAGGAGGAACACCGAUGGCGAAGGCAGGUCUCUGGGCUGUAACUGACGCUGAGGAGCGAAAGCAUGGGGAGCGAACAGGAUUAGAUACCCUGGUAGUCCAUGCCGUAAACGUUGGGCACUAGGUGUGGGGGACAUUCCACGUUUUCCGCGCCGUAGCUAACGCAUUAAGUGCCCCGCCUGGGGAGUACGGCCGCAAGGCUAAAACUCAAAGGAAUUGACGGGGGCCCGCACAAGCGGCGGAGCAUGCGGAUUAAUUCGAUGCAACGCGAAGAACCUUACCAAGGCUUGACAUGAACCGGAAAGACCUGGAAACAGGUGCCCCGCUUGCGGUCGGUUUACAGGUGGUGCAUGGUUGUCGUCAGCUCGUGUCGUGAGAUGUUGGGUUAAGUCCCGCAACGAGCGCAACCCUCGUUCUAUGUUGCCAGCGCGUGAUGGCGGGGACUCAUAGGAGACUGCCGGGGUCAACUCGGAGGAAGGUGGGGACGACGUCAAAUCAUCAUGCCCCUUAUGUCUUGGGCUUCACGCAUGCUACAAUGGCCGGUACAAAGGGUUGCGAUACUGUGAGGUGGAGCUAAUCCCAAAAAGCCGGUCUCAGUUCGGAUUGGGGUCUGCAACUCGACCCCAUGAAGUCGGAGUCGCUAGUAAUCGCAGAUCAGCAACGCUGCG